This is a non-coding RNA of Cricetulus griseus (Chinese hamster), 1144 nucleotides long. NCBI's taxonomy places the organism in Eukaryota, Metazoa, Chordata, Mammalia, Rodentia, Cricetidae. The record is from RefSeq and is a predicted model, not a curated record.
ACUACCUCAAAACUAAAGGAGAAGUAAGUGUUUACCCACAGCAUGACAGGAUGGCAAAGCCUCUUAGGAGCAGAAAUUGUCUCACUUGUUACUUUUAUCUUCCUAGCUUUUUUUCCCCCCCAUCUCAGGAUGUUGUCUGAGGAGUGUAAAUGGAGCUAGCUGUAUGUAGGAUUUAUGAUGAAAUGAAUCAAAGGUAAAGACAAGACUAAUCUGAGGCUACAAUUGUGACAUGGUGUUUUCUUGGCUGAAACUGAUGGGUUUGUGUUCCACAAGUUUGGAUGAUUGUCCUCAGCAAAUGUAGUUGAUCUUUUUAUUUUUACCUUAUUUCCUACUCGACUAGUACAUCUGUAAUUCAGUGUACAAAGCUUAUGUUCAUGUAACUCAUUCAUAGUAUCUUCAAACCAUAGGUCCUCUACUAUACCAUUUUGAAAAUCUGGCAAAUGAACUUUCUAUAGAAUUGAGCUAUGAGGAUAUUAAAAAUGUUGUUCUGCAGUAUGGAUUCCAACUGGAGGUGGAAAAAGAAUCUGUAUUGUCAACAUAUACUGUGAAUGAUCUCUCCAUGAUGAAAUACUACUAUGAAUGUGUCUUGUUUGUAGUCCGGAAGCCACAGUAAUGGUCUUAAGUGAUAUUACCCAGAAAAAAGUUUAAUAUGAGCAAAUACUGAAAUAAACAACUCACAGUCAACUAUCAGUGACAGCAGGACACAACCUCAAAUCAGUGGUGCCUUCUUAUUCCUAACAAAAAUUUAGAAAUAGUGUCUAUUUUCUUAAUAAUAUCUAUUGCUUUUUUCAGAAAUACACUAUACGAUGCAGAUUUGUACUGCACAAGAAAAAUAACAGAGAAAAUGUCUCCCGUGCAGAUAUAUAAUGGAGGAAAUAUCUUCAAGUACUUUUUUCUUUGAAGCCCAGAAUUGUCUUUCUUUAAGAAAAUAAACCUAAACUCCCAUCUUCAUGAAGCUGUUGCAAGUCUGCCAUAUUAAUGACCGAUAGUGCUAAAGUCCACACUAAUCUCCUUUUGAGGUUUUACGUUGCCCGUAUUUCUUUUAGAAGAGUCUAAGGAUCCUCUGUCAUAUUCAGCAUCUGGAACUGGAACUUUGUUUUCAUUGGACCUAAAUAACCUAUACUUAAAGAACUUUGAAACUGUU